This 178-nucleotide non-coding RNA is filed under the name Clostridium sp. Its description in RNAcentral is "T-box sequence". It matches the Rfam family "T-box leader". Rfam says of the family: Uncharged tRNA acts as the effector for transcription antitermination of genes in the T-box leader family. The record is from RNAcentral. Lineage: Bacteria; Bacillati; Bacillota; Clostridia; Eubacteriales; Clostridiaceae.
UAUUAAGCGUUGAUUAGGAUGAGUAGAUUUAUUAUAGUUAUUUCAGAGAGAAAGUGGUUGGUGGAAACUUUUUAGCUAUAUACUUUGAAGCUGCCUAUGAGCUAUGAAUUACUAAGUGAUGUAUAGAACUUAUACAUAAUUAGGGUGGUACCGCGGAAAUUUAGCUUUCGUCCCUAUG